Cynocephalus volans (Philippine flying lemur) is the source of this 2405-nucleotide long non-coding RNA. RefSeq lists it as uncharacterized. The record is from RefSeq and is a predicted model, not a curated record. The transcript has 3 exons. NCBI's taxonomy places the organism in Eukaryota, Metazoa, Chordata, Mammalia, Dermoptera, Cynocephalidae.
CCCAGCUGGCGGGGAGCGGAGCCAGAGACAGAAGAGGAGCGAAAAGUUUCCCCGGAGUCUUCAUUACUUGACGUCCCCGUCCGCGGCUCACCCCGGCCGGCAGAGCUCGCCCCCAAUAAAGGAAGGAGGGAGGUCUUUAUUUUUUUUAAGGCCCCGAAGAGUCCGGUGUUUACAAGACGAGAAAUGCCGCGGCCACGUCCUGGCAGGGAGAAAGGCUGAAAUGGAGGACCGACGCCUUCCUUAUAAGGGAAAAUAUUUUCAAUCUUCUCAUUCCCAACCUGAACCGACCUCCACAGACCCAGCCUGGCUUUUGCCCCUACCCAGGUGUCCCUGGGGAGGAAGACCCCAAGAAAGAAGGCCGAUUUGGGAUCAAAGGGGGCUUUACUCUGCACCUACUGUCCACUUGGGGAUAACAAUUAACUUGGUUUUGAUAAUAUCCUGUGUUCCUCUCUCUGGCCUCACCUGCCAAGGCUCUGUGACCCCAGUGGCCUUGGACUGAGAGUGAAACCUUCGAUUGUGGGGGACAUGGGGAGAGUAGAGCCCACUGCUUCUGAGAUGGAGUUCAGCUCAUUGGGGCAUGAUUCAGCACCCGACCUGGUAGAAAAAGCAACCACAAAGCCAGAGAGAAAGCCGAAAGAAGGAAGAGAGCGCCAGAUGGAGAUGAAAGUGAACCACAGAGAAAUGCAGGGAAAGAAGCAAGGCGGCAGGUCCCUGAACAAGAACAAACGUGGCAGAGGGUGAGACAGGCACUCACGGACAGAGGUUUAUAUUUUUAAUUUUUAAAAAAAUCCAAUUUGGGGCUCCAUGAAGGAAAGAAAAAAUUUUGAGGAGAGGAGGAGAAGGAAUUAUCCAGGUCCCAGCUCACCACAUGAACUCCUGCAGGAGAAAACUCUGGAUAAACCCAAGCGGGCACCAGGGCAGCACCUGGCCACCUGGCUACGGUCAUGCCCCACACGCUGCCAGGCCGGGUCGGGCCCUGGAUAGCACCCCUUGCCCCCCACUUCCCACUCCCGCCUCCACUUCCUCACUCUCCUUAUCAUCUCGAUCUUCAUGACGAGGCUUGUUAACAAGACCAGCGAGCUGGCCACGCACAUCUAUCUCAGGCGCGCGCUCAGCCGAGCAGUGGCCGGCGGGGGGACUGGGAGGCGCUAAUUAAUUGAUUCCUUUGGACUGUAAAAUACGGCCGCGUCUACACGGAACCCAUAGACUCAUAAACAAUAUCUCUGCUGAGUGUGAGUGCACAGUCUCUCAAAGAAUUUUUCCAUAGGCAUGUGUCCUGGAUUUUUAGUUGAGAAGGAAAGACUCAAGUGGGACUAUUCUUUAGGGGACAAAAACAGAGUCAUCUUGGUGCCAGAAAAAUGUCUCUCCAAAAGCCUUGAGUGUGGGCUUUGUUGGGAAAUUUUUUUCUGCUGUUUGUGUAUACCUGGUCCAGUUUAAGGAUGGGAACUGGAUCUGAUAGGCAGAGUAGGCCAGAAGCUUCCCUGCCCUGGCUGGGUGCCGAGGAGUGGGGCUGCUCCCGGAUUUGAGAGGGACAUAGAAGCUGAAGUCCAGUCUUUGCUUCAUGCUGCUCCCUUGACUCAGGAUUUUAAAAAAUAAAUUUCAAAAUUAAACAAACUUUAACCUUUGGGAGUUUGUGAGCACCCAGCACACACCCGGGGAUCCACCUGCCUGUUACAUACCUUAUCAGGCCACUGUGGCACCCCUUUUCCUAACCGGCAGCACAGAGUAACUAUACUACACUUAUUUUAGGUGUAGAAGAAUGGGUCUUGAGACACGUGGGGUGACCUAAUUAUAUAACGUUGUUUCCACAUGGCUGUGAUUAUGCAGUUGGACCCUGCAGCAAACAGAAUUUUGUGCUCUGAAUAUAGACCCCCACUUGAGACAAGAAAUGCAACAGAAAUAGAAAUAGAAGAAGACAUAUAAAUAAUGCAUUUAAAAGGGGGGGGGUUAAAGGACAAAAAUAAUAGAAAGACAGAAAAAGGCUCAACAGAUGAAGAUUGUCAUUGCAAAUGCCUGAGCUUCCUCCUGCUAUUGUUUUUAAGAUCACCAGAGAAAUGUGUAUGAUAAAUACAAUCGGUGAACCUGAAGAAUGUACUUCCAGUGUAUUUGGUACAUACCAUGUAUAAAAACAUAAUUUACAGAGUAUAUCUACUGGGUAGAUCUGCACUUUGUGUAAGUAUAACAAUAUGAUGUAUUGUCUAUGCUGUUUUUAAUGUGGAUAUAUGAUCUGGAUGCGUUUUCCAUUUCCAUUUUAUAUGCCCCAUGGAGUAUAUAUGCACACAUAGCUCAGUAGACUCAGGAAUGCACAUUCCCUGUGUAGGAUAUAUGUAUGUGUAGUGUUUAUAUGUGUAAAUAAAAUUUUACAUGUGGUGAAUAUACAUGCUAUAUAUAAUCUUUUCCUGUUA